This 671-nucleotide ribosomal RNA is filed under the name Helicobacter pylori. Its description in RNAcentral is "bacterial LSU rRNA". It matches the Rfam family "Bacterial large subunit ribosomal RNA", at positions 1427 to 2102 of the family's 2925-position model. Lineage: Bacteria; Pseudomonadati; Campylobacterota; Epsilonproteobacteria; Campylobacterales; Helicobacteraceae. The record is from RNAcentral.
UGGUUAAUAUUCCAAUACCGACUAUGGAGCGUGAUGGGGGGACGCAUAGGGUUAAGCGAGCUAGCUGAUGGAAGCGCUAGUCUAAGGGCGUAGAUUGGAGGGAAGGCAAAUCCACCUCUGUAUUUGAAACCCAAACAGGCUCUUUGAGUCCUUUUAGGACAAAGGGAGAAUCGCUGAUACCGUCGUGCCAAGAAAAGCCUCUAAGCAUAUCCAUAGUCGUCCGUACCGCAAACCGACACAGGUAGAUGAGAUGAGUAUUCUAAGGCGCGUGAAAGAACUCUGGUUAAGGAACUCUGCAAACUAGCACCGUAAGUUCGCGAUAAGGUGUGCCACAGCGAUGUGGUCUCAGCAAAGAGUCCCUCCCGACUGUUUACCAAAAACACAGCACUUUGCCAACUCGUAAGAGGAAGUAUAAGGUGUGACGCCUGCCCGGUGCUCGAAGGUUAAGAGGAUGCGUCAGUCGCAAGAUGAAGCGUUGAAUUGAAGCCCGAGUAAACGGCGGCCGUAACUAUAACGGUCCUAAGGUAGCGAAAUUCCUUGUCGGUUAAAUACCGACCUGCAUGAAUGGCGUAACGAGAUGGGAGCUGUCUCAACCAGAGAUUCAGUGAAAUUGUAGUGGAGGUGAAAAUUCCUCCUACCCGCGGCAAGACGGGAAGACCCCGUGGACCUUU